Molecule: RNA transcript, 3606 nt
Organism: Hordeum vulgare subsp. vulgare (domesticated barley)
Lineage: Eukaryota; Viridiplantae; Streptophyta; Magnoliopsida; Poales; Poaceae
Gene name: disease resistance protein PIK6-NP-like
Exons: 2
Source: RefSeq, a predicted model, not a curated record
ACGUGCGCAUCAUGCACACGAGCUGUUAGAGCUCCCAAGAAACCGGUCAUGGUAGCUCAGCAUCUCAGAAAACAACGCCGACGUAUUUCAAUACCUGGUAUAUCUACAGUGCAAAGCAGCGGUCAAGUCUCCUCUGUACCCUGUAGCAGCAGUGCAGCAGCACGCUACUCCUCCAUUAUUGCCACCAUUACUCUUGCUCUGCAGCAGUCCAGCAGUAGCACAUCACGCUCCUCCACUAUUGCCUCACCAGCGCCUCGCUCUCCAUUGAGCGCCAACAUUACUCUGCUCCUCCAUCGAACACCACGGAGGACCGGACCAAACCAUGGCGCUUGUGUAGCAGCUCGUCUCUUCUUCUCAAGGCAGGGGGGAAAGGCGGAGAUGGCGGGCGUGGGCGUCGGGACGGGGGCGCUGGGCUCCGUCAUCGCCAAGCUUGCCGCCCUGCUCGGCGACGAGUACAAGAUGCUCAACCGGGUGCGCAAGGACAUCACCUUCCUCGAGCGCGAGCUCCGCCGGAUGCAGAUCCUGGUGAACGCUCUGGCGGACAUGGAGGGGCUCGACGCCCUGGCCAAGGACUGGAAGGGCAGCAUGCGCGACCUCAGCUACGACAUGGAGGAGUGCAUCGACCGCUUCAUGCGACGCAUCGGCGGCAAGCGGAGCUUCCCCAAGAAGGCCGCGCGCCGGCUCAAGACCCUGUUCGCGCGCCAUGGCAUCGGGACCCAGAUCAAGGAGCUCAAGGCCCGCGUCGCCGAGGAGGGCGAGCGGCGGCAGAGGUUAAACCUCGACAACUACGCCCCACCGACGACCGUGGCGAUAGAUCCCCCGCUCGCUGCGUUCCACGGGGUGGCCAAAGGCUUGGUGGCCAUGGACGGCCGCAGGGAUGAGGUUAUUUCUCUAUUGACUGAGGAGAGGGUGGAGCUCAAGGUGGUGGCCAUUGUUGGAGGUGGGGGGCUGGGAAAGACCACACUUGCCAUGGAAACCUACCGCAAGAUUGGAGAGCAUUUCCAAUGCCGAGCUUCGGUGUCGGUGUCGCGCACCCCUGACCUCGAGACGCUCUUGAAAGAUGUCCUGUCUCAAAUCGAUGGAGAUGCCCAGUCAGAGAGGUGGAAUAAAGACCAACUCAUUCGUCGGAUCCAAAGUAGCUUGACAGGAAAGAGGUACAUUCUUGUUAUUGAUGAUGUAUGGAAAAUACAAGACUGGAAAUUUCUCAAAGCAGCUUUUCCUGACAAUGAUAAUGGUAGCAGAAUAAUUGUUACUACACGCAUUACCAACGUAGCUAAGUCAUCUUGUUCUAACUCCAGUGAUCAUCUCUACCAAAUGCCACCUCUGAAUGAUGUUGAUUCCCAAAGAUUGUUCUUUAAGAGAAUUUUCAACUCGGACAACUCCUGCCCUACUCAACUAGAAGAUGUUUCAGCUAGGAUCUUAAGAAAAUGUGGUGGUGUGCCAUUAGCUAUAAUUACCAUUGCCAGUUUGCUAUCCCAUAAACCUCAAACCCCAGAUGAAUGGGAGAGACUCCAAGAUUCCAUUGGUGCGGGUCUUUCAUAUGAGAGUGAUGGUGAUGGAAAUGAUAUGCGACAUAUAUUGUUACUUAGUUACUAGGAUCUUCCACACCACUUGAAGACUUGUUUAUUAUACUUAUGUAUAUAUCCCGAGGACGCGGAAAUCCCUUGUGAAGAACUGAAAUGGAAAUGGAUAGCCGAAGGAUUCCUUGCGGCAAAACGGGGAAAUUUAUAUGAAGAAGCACAGAGUUGUUUCAAUGAACUUGUCAAUAGAAGCAUGAUCCAGCUACUUCAUGCUCACAGUUUUGAAGAAAAAUAUUGUCAGGUUCAUGAUAUGGUUCUUGACCUUAUAAUUUCUCUGUCGGAUGAAGAGAAUUUUGCCACUGUUUUAAAUGGUGUCCCCAAUUCUUUGCCAAGCAAGAUCCGCCGACUCUCCCUACAAUCUAGUUGGUUUGAACAAAAAGGGAAAAUCCAAGCCAUCACAAGAAGCAAGUUACAUGUUCGCUCAUUGAAUGUGUUUAGAGUAACGAAGGAGAUACCUCCGCUUGUGGACUUCCUGUCCCUGCGUGUGUUUGAUAUAUCCAUGCGUCAUUCAUCAUGGAAAAACAAGUAUAUAAGAAAUAUAGGAAGUUUCUAUGAACUGAGGUAUUUGAGAAUUCACACGAAAGCAAUCACAAAGCUUCCUGAGGAUAUUGGAAAGCUACAGAACUUAGAGACUCUGGAUUUGCGAGGCACUUCUAUUUUUAAACUGCCAUCAACUACAGCCCGGCUACAGAAACUGGUGCGCCUAUUCGUUGACUGCUGGCAAUUUGUGUUUUCUGCUGAUAUGCUUGGUAGCAUGCGAGCCUUGGAGGAAGUGUCAGAUAUCCGUAAAGUUGACAACCCUGAGAAAUUUUUGGAAGAGCUUCGACAUCUAACAAAAUUGAGAAAGAUCUCGAUGAGUUUGUUAUGGCUUUGUUGUAAGGAUUUUGAAUGCUAUAGAGAGAGACUAGGGUCAUAUCUAAAUGAGUUGGGCAAAUGCAACCUUCGAUAUCUUCAUAUUCAUGGAAAAAUUGGAAAAUAUAUGUUGAGGGAUACUUGCUGCACCUUUCCGUACCUCCAGCAUCUUAACCUAGAGAGGUCGAUUAAAAGGGUUCCCAAGGGAAUGGCCUCCCUAACCAACAUCCUCAAAUUACAGAUAGAAGUCAGACAAUUGGAUGAGGAAGACCUCCAUGUUCUCAUGUGUAUGCCUUCUCUUGCCUAUCUCCAGCUAAAGGUAUGCGGGUCGACUGGCGUCGUGACUGUAAGUAGUGAUGGAUUCAAGCUGCUGGAGGUGUUCCACUACAUAAUUUAUCUAGACGAAGCAACAGGGAUAGAAUUUGCAGCAGGUGCUAUGCCAGCACUCCGACGGCUCCAUCUUUAUUGGAGUGCGUGUUUAGUUCUGUCGAGGUCUGGUGAUGGUGCUGGCAUGGGCAUCGAGCAUCUUUCAAGUCUUCCGCUCCUCGAGGUGGAAACUAAUUGUUGUCAUGCAAUUCCGGAGGAGGUGGAGGCUGUGGAGGGUUCCAUUGAAAAAGCAAUCGCCUUGCAUCCCAACCGUCAAACUCUUCAACUCCGUCUUUGUAGAACAAAUGAAGAUAAGAUGUUCAGGGAUGACAAGGUGAGGCAAAAGGAGCUGGAAAGGCGUAAGGGAACAUGGGAAGAUGUGUUUUAUUGGUGACACGUUGGAAGAGGUAUACAUAUAUCUUGCCCCCACCCCUGGUUUCUUCAUUCCAUUAGACAGCAUAUUCCAUGGCUAUGAAGUCAUUUACGGAUCUGCUUCUAUCUUCCUCCACAACACUAAGACUUGCCACCAUCUAUUUAUGUAAUCCCAGGCCUGUACCACGUGUUCUAGGUAGAACCUUCAGUUACAUUGUAUGUCUGUAAUAAGGUAGUUUGGUGCAUCAGGUUUUUCUUCCCAUAGUCUGUGUUCGAGUACGAGUACAGACAGUGGGUUUUCCUGGUGCUCGUCGAACCCAUGUUCUGUUUGUCUUGUUGCCUUCUCAGAGUCGGACUCAUUUUUGUUUCUCUUAUGCAACUUUCUCUUGCCUGUAUCCGGAUUAUUUGAGCUAUUUAUUUUGAAUCUUAUAUGCUA